RNAcentral lists this long non-coding RNA (1064 nucleotides) under Phoenix dactylifera (date palm). RNAcentral describes it as "long non-coding RNA (PDAC_LNC000597)". Lineage: Eukaryota; Viridiplantae; Streptophyta; Magnoliopsida; Arecales; Arecaceae. The record is from RNAcentral.
AAAUUUUGUUCAAUAUUCCAUCUCCAUCGAGAUAUUAAAAGACAUCAGCUAAUGUUUGUAUAAGUCAUCAAGGAGUCCAAAAAGUUCUGCUCCUCUGAAGACUUUUCUUUCCCCACGAAGUAUGCGGAAAGAGAGGAGGAAAAGGAACAGCAGAAUUUAGGAGCGGGUGCCGAGUACGUUCCCUCUUUGCUUUUCUCCCAAGCAAGCUACCCUCUCCACAAGGAAAAACCGCACGGGAUUCAGCCCUUUCGGAAAGGCAGCAUGCGAUGUCCAAUAGAAUUAUAGAAGCACGUCAACUGGCUUCGUUUUUCUUCGCACACAUCUGGGAAUUUGACAGUAGCCACACCUUAAUAAAACUAAAGUAGGUAGAACACCAAAGAUACCAUCAGGGCGGUAGUGCUUCCCUUUAACCUAAUGCACUCAAAUCCAGUCCUUAACGCUGAGAACCAAUUACGUAACAUCCGUAUCAACUCUCCACUCUUGCAGGCUUGAGAGAAAAUAACGUACACGUAAAAGCUUGCCAUCUCUCUCCUGGGACAAUCACGCGCAUCUCACCAAGAUACUGUUGAUUCUCCACUGGAUAUUCCAUUUAAUCGUUGAAUUUGUUAGAUUUUUUAUUCGUUAAGAAUGUAUAUUUAGAACUUUCAAUAAUUUUAUUUCUAUAUCUAAAUACAAGAUGGAUUGCAGCUUAAACAAAUAUGUAUAAAAUAUUUAAAAUAUAUUUAACAAAUAUUCAACAAAUUUGUCGGAUGAUUUAAAUUUAUGAAUAAGGUAUCUUUUAUUUGCAUUCAGAAACAAAAUUGUGCAAAGAUCACUCUAUAUCAUUGUGUAGAAAAAUCAUUUAAAAAAAAGAUAAAAGUACUGAUUAUAUAAAUUUUUAUGCAAAAUUCUUUUUGAUCCCUACUCAAGUCUCCUUUCCAACUCCCUGUCUCUCUCUCUCUCUCUGCGUGCGCUCACAUGUGCAUAUGACUUUUAGUAGUGGCUCUUGUGGAAGCCUACUAAUAACUUUUCCAUCUCACGCUCUCUUUCGAAUGUAGACGCCUAGAGGGGUCUAUUCUCUGUGG